UCAAGUGACUAAGUGCAUGUGGUGGAUGCCUUGGCGAUUACAGGCGAUGAAGGACGUGAUAGCCUGCGAUAAGCUUCGGGGAGCUGGCAAAUAAGCUUUGAUCCGGAGAUUUCCGAAUGGGGAAACCCACCCGCAAGGGUAUUGCACACUGAAUACAUAGGUGUGCAAGGCGAACCAGGGGAACUGAAACAUCUCAGUACCUUGAGGAAAAGACAUCAACCGAGAUUCCGAAAGUAGUGGCGAGCGAAAUCGGAACAGCCUGCGCAUGAUAGCCAUCGACUUAUCAGAACGGAAUGGAAAGUCCGACCAAAGAGGGUGAUAGUCCCGUAUGGAAAAAGUCGGUGGUGGUACUAGGUGCGGAACAAGUAGGGCGGGGCACGUGAAACCUUGUCUGAAUAUGGGGGGACCAUCCUCCAAGGCUAAAUACUCGUAAUCGACCGAUAGUGAACAAGUACCGUGAGGGAAAGGCGAAAAGAACCCCGGGAGGGGAGUGAAAUAGAUCCUGAAACCGCAUGCAUACAAAAAGUCGGAGCCGCAAGGUGACGGCGUACCUUUUGUAUAAUGGGUCAGCGACUUACAUUCAGUGGCAAGCUUAACCGAAUAGGGAAGGCGCAGGGAAACCGAGUCCGAAUAGGGCGUUCAGUCGCUGGGUGUAGACCCGAAACCAGGUGAUCUAUCCAUGGCCAGGAUGAAGGUGCGGUAACACGCACUGGAGGUCCGAACCGACUAGUGUUGCAAAACUAGCGGAUGAGCUGUGGAUAGGGGUGAAAGGCUAAACAAACCUGGAGAUAGCUGGUUCUCUCCGAAAACUAUUUAGGUAGUGCCUCAAGUAUUACCAUCGGGGGUAGAGCACUGUUAUGGCUAGGGGGUCAUGGCGACUUACCAAACCAUUGCAAACUCCGAAUACCGAUGAGUACAGCUUGGGAGACAGUGCACCGGGUGCUAACGUCCGGACACAAGAGGGAAACAACCCAGACCGCCAGCUAAGGUCCCUAAUAUUGGCUAAGUGGGAAACGAAGUGGGAAGGCUAAAACAGUCAGGAUGUUGGCUUAGAAGCAGCCAUCAUUUAAAGAAAGCGUAAUAGCUCACUGAUCGAGUCGUCCUGCGCGGAAGAUGUAACGGGGCUAAGCCAGUAACCGAAGCUGCGGAUUCACACGCAAGUGUGAGUGGUAGGAGAGCGUUCUGUACGCCUGUGAAGGUGGAUCGUGAGGUCUGCUGGAGGUAUCAGAAGUGCGAAUGCUGACAUGAGUAGCGUUAAAGGGGGUGAAAAGCCCCCUCGCCGUAAGCGCAAGGUUUCCUACGCAACGUUCAUCGGCGUAGGGUGAGUCGGCCCCUAAGGCGAGGCAGAGAUGCGUAGCUGAUGGGAAACAGGUCAAUAUUCCUGUACCGAUGUGUAGUGCGAUGUGGGGACGGAGAUGGUUAACUCAGCCGGGUGUUGGAUGUCCCGGUUCAAGCCUGUAGUCGUGCCUGGUAGGCAAAUCCGCCGGGCUUAGAUGAGGGGUGAUAACGAGGCGGCUUGCCGCCGAAGUGAGUGAUACCCUGCUUCCAGGAAAAGCCACUAAGCUUCAGCUACACACGACCGUACCGCAAACCGACACUGGUGCGCGAGAUGAGUAUUCUAAGGCGCUUGAGAGAACUCUGGAGAAGGAACUCGGCAAAUUGACACCGUAACUUCGGAAGAAGGUGUGCCUUUAGUAGGUGAACCAGUACAUGGGGAGCCCAAUGAGGCCGCAGAGAAUCGGUGGCUGCAACUGUUUAAUAAAAACACAGCACUCUGCAAAGACGAAAGUCGACGUAUAGGGUGUGACGCCUGCCCGGUGCUGGAAGAUUAAAUGAUGGGGUGCAAGCUCUUGAUUGAAGUCCCAGUAAACGGCGGCCGUAACUAUAACGGUCCUAAGGUAGCGAAAUUCCUUGUCGGGUAAGUUCCGACCUGCACGAAUGGCGUAAUGAUGGCCACACUGUCUCCUCCAGAGACUCAGCGAAGUUGAAAUGUUUGUGAUGAUGCAAUCUCCCCGCGGAAAGACGGAAAGACCCCAUGAACCUUUACUGUAGCUUUACAUUGGACUUUGAACAGAUCUGUGUAGGAUAGGUGGGAGGCUUUGAAGCGGUGCCGCUAGGUGUCGUGGAGCCAACGUUGAAAUACCACCCUGGUGUGUUUGAGGUUCUAACCUUGGCCCGUGAUCCGGGUUGGGGACAGUGUAUGGUGGGCAGUUUGACUGGGGCGGUCUCCUCCCAAAGUGUAACGGAGGAGUUCGAAGGUACGCUAAAUACGGUCGGAAAUCGUGUUGAUAGUGCAUUGGCAUAAGCGUGCUUGACUGCGAGACUGACAAGUCGAGCAGGUACGAAAGUAGGACAAAGUGAUCCGGUGGUUCUGUAUGGAAGGGCCAUCGCUCAACGGAUAAAAGGUACUCUGGGGAUAACAGGCUGAUACCGCCCAAGAGUUCAUAUCGACGGCGGUGUUUGGCACCUCGAUGUCGGCUCAUCUCAUCCUGGGGCUGUAGCCGGUCCCAAGGGUAUGGCUGUUCGCCAUUUAAAGAGGUACGUGAGCUGGGUUUAAAACGUCGUGAGACAGUUUGGUCCCUAUCUUCCGUGGGCGCUGCAAGAUUGAGAGAGCCUGCUCCUAGUACGAGAGGACCGGAGUGGACGCACCUCUGGUGUAUCGGUUGUCACGCCAGUGGCAUUGCCGAGUAGCUAAGUGCGGAAGAGAUAACCGCUGAAAGCAUCUAAGCGGGAAACUCGUCUCAAGAUGAGUCUUGCCGGGGCCUUGAGCCCCCUGAAGGGUCGUUCGAGACCAGGACGUUGAUAGGCUGGGUGUGGAAGCGCAGUAAUGCGUUAAGCUAACCAGUACUAAUUGCCCGUGAGGCUUGACCC
RNAcentral lists this ribosomal RNA (2871 nucleotides) under Pseudaquabacterium pictum. RNAcentral's name for it is "Aquabacterium pictum 23S ribosomal RNA". It matches the Rfam family "Bacterial large subunit ribosomal RNA". The record is from RNAcentral. Lineage: Bacteria; Pseudomonadati; Pseudomonadota; Betaproteobacteria; Burkholderiales; Sphaerotilaceae.